AGUGAACGCUGGCGGUAGGCCUAACACAUGCAAGUCGAACGGCAGCACAGUAAGAGCUUGCUCUUACGGGUGGCGAGUGGCGGACGGGUGAGGAAUACAUCGGAAUCUACUUUUUCGUGGGGGAUAACGUAGGGAAACUUACGCUAAUACCGCAUACGACCUACGGGUGAAAGCAUGGGAUCUUCGGACCUUGCGCGAUUGAAUGAGCCGAUGUCGGAUUAGCUAGUUGGCGGGGUAAAGGCCCACCAAGGCGACGAUCCGUAGCUGGUCUGAGAGGAUGAUCAGCCACACUGGAACUGAGACACGGUCCAGACUCCUACGGGAGGCAGCAGUGGGGAAUAUUGGACAAUGGGCGCAAGCCUGAUCCAGCCAUACCGCGUGGGUGAAGAAGGUCUUCGGGUUGUAAAGCACUUUUGCUGGGAAAGAAAAGCAGCAGGUUAAUACCCCGCUGUUCUGACGGUACCAAAAGAAUAAGCACCGGCUAACUUCGUG
RNAcentral lists this ribosomal RNA (492 nucleotides) under uncultured bacterium. RNAcentral's name for it is "partial 16S ribosomal RNA". It matches the Rfam family "Bacterial small subunit ribosomal RNA", at positions 29 to 507 of the family's 1533-position model. The record is from RNAcentral.